Long non-coding RNA from Oncorhynchus tshawytscha (Chinook salmon), 880 nucleotides. The record is from Ensembl. Lineage: Eukaryota; Metazoa; Chordata; Actinopteri; Salmoniformes; Salmonidae.
UGUAUACAGAAAUAUCUGAUUCGCAUCAGUAUUCACACCCCAGAGUCAAUUUCUUUGUAGAAGGAUCUUCGGCAGUGAUUACAGCUCUGAGUCGUCUUGGGUAUGUCUGUAUCCAUUUUUGUUUUUAUACUUAGAUGGGGAGCGGCAGUGAACACCAAUCUUCAAGGCGUUCCACAGAUUUUCAAUGACAUUCAAGUCUGUGACAAACAAGGACUAACCACUUCUAGCCAGAGGUAAACAGAACAGGAGAAGACCUAACCACUCCUAGCCAGAGGAAAACAGAACAGGAGAAGAUCUAACCUCUCCUAACCAGAGGUAAACAGAACAGGAGAAUACCUAACCACUCCUAACCAGAGUGAUAGCGACUCCGACUGGGAGCCCCCGGUGCCAAGCUGCCUGCUCUACCUCUGCCCCCAGUGGUGUUCAUAUGCCACAGUUCAUUACUGCAGGCAUGACUGUGCCUCAGGUCCAAAAGGGCACAGCAUGGAGGCUUCGUUGUGUUCUGUGUCGCAUGAACUCCACCACUUGUUCAGUUUGCCCCUGCUUUACAUCAGAAAGAGACUGCUAUGGGACAUGUCACAUGCAGCAAAAUAUUGUGUCGAGGACUUCCAAAGGGUGUACUGUUUUUAAAAAAUAUUUAUUUCUAAUAUUUAAAAAAAAAUUGUGUGUGUGUGUGUUAGAAUUGCUUUUUGAUAUGUUGUAUAUAGUUAUUUGCACUGUUGUAUAUAGUUAUAGGUCAGUUCACCAAUUUGGCCACUUGGGUACACCUGGGUGACUUCAUGCUAAAUGUCAUGUAGCUCACCCAUUCCUGAAGUUAUCAGUCUGAAACAUUGCACACCUACAGUUGCCCUCUUGUGUUAUCCAUCAAAAUGAUCUCCAG